ACGGAGGGUGCGAGCGUUGUCCGGAAUCACUGGGCGUAAAGGGCGCGUAGGCGGCGCGAGGAGUCGGGGGUGAAAGUCCGGGGCUCAACCCCGGAUCGGCCUUCGAUACUCUCGCGCUGGAGCACAGUAGAGGCGGGUGGAAUUCCGGGUGUAGCGGUGGAAUGCGUAGAGAUCCGGAAGAACACCGGUGGCGAAGGCGGCCCGCUGGGCUGUGGCUGACGCUGAGGCGUGACAGCGUGGGGAGCAAACAGGA
Molecule: ribosomal RNA, 253 nt
Filed under: uncultured prokaryote
Description: partial 16S ribosomal RNA
Rfam family: Bacterial small subunit ribosomal RNA
Source: RNAcentral